AGAGUUUGAUCAUGGCUCAGAUUGAACGCUGGCGGCAGGCCUAACACAUGCAAGUCGAACGGUAACAGGAAGCAGCUUGCUGCUUUGCUGACGAGUGGCGGACGGGUGAGUAAUGUCUGGGAAACUGCCUGAUGGAGGGGGAUAACUACUGGAAACGGUAGCUAAUACCGCAUAACGUCGCAAGACCAAAGAGGGGGACCUUCGGGCCUCUUGCCAUCGGAUGUGCCCAGAUGGGAUUAGCUAGUAGGUGGGGUAACGGCUCACCUAGGCGACGAUCCCUAGCUGGUCUGAGAGGAUGACCAGCCACACUGGAACUGAGACACGGUCCAGACUCCUACGGGAGGCAGCAGUGGGGAAUAUUGCACAAUGGGCGCAAGCCUGAUGCAGCCAUGCCGCGUGUAUGAAGAAGGCCUUCGGGUUGUAAAGUACUUUCAGCGGGGAGGAAGGGAGUAAAGUUAAUACCUUUGCUCAUUGACGUUACCCGCAGAAGAAGCACCGGCUAACUCCGUGCCAGCAGCCGCGGUAAUACGGAGGGUGCAAGCGUUAAUCGGAAUUACUGGGCGUAAAGCGCACGCAGGCGGUUUGUUAAGUCAGAUGUGAAAUCCCCGGGCUCAACCUGGGAACUGCAUCUGAUACUGGCAAGCUUGAGUCUCGUAGAGGGGGGUAGAAUUCCAGGUGUAGCGGUGAAAUGCGUAGAGAUCUGGAGGAAUACCGGUGGCGAAGGCGGCCCCCUGGACGAAGACUGACGCUCAGGUGCGAAAGCGUGGGGAGCAAACAGGAUUAGAUACCCUGGUAGUCCACGCCGUAAACGAUGUCGACUUGGAGGUUGUGCCCUUGAGGCGUGGCUUCCGGAGCUAACGCGUUAAGUCGACCGCCUGGGGAGUACGGCCGCAAGGUUAAAACUCAAAUGAAUUGACGGGGGCCCGCACAAGCGGUGGAGCAUGUGGUUUAAUUCGAUGCAACGCGAAGAACCUUACCUGGUCUUGACAUCCACGGAAGUUUUCAGAGAUGAGAAUGUGCCUUCGGGAGCCGUGAGACAGGUGCUGCAUGGCUGUCGUCAGCUCGUGUUGUGAAAUGUUGGGUUAAGUCCCGCAACGAGCGCAACCCUUAUCCUUUGUUGCCAG
RNAcentral lists this ribosomal RNA (1124 nucleotides) under Escherichia coli CHS 69. Its description in RNAcentral is "bacterial SSU rRNA". It matches the Rfam family "Bacterial small subunit ribosomal RNA", at positions 8 to 1121 of the family's 1533-position model. The record is from RNAcentral. Lineage: Bacteria; Pseudomonadati; Pseudomonadota; Gammaproteobacteria; Enterobacterales; Enterobacteriaceae.